RNAcentral lists this ribosomal RNA (407 nucleotides) under uncultured bacterium. RNAcentral describes it as "bacterial SSU rRNA". It matches the Rfam family "Bacterial small subunit ribosomal RNA", at positions 364 to 768 of the family's 1533-position model. The record is from RNAcentral.
UUGGGCAAUGCCCGCAAGGGUGACCCAGCAAUGCCGCGUGGAGGAUGAAUGUCGUAAGAUUGUAAACCCCUGUUAGAGGGGAAGAAUAGUACCGGUUGGACCGGUAUAUGACUGUACCCUCAGAGAAAGCCCCGGCUAACUACGUGCCAGCAGCCGCGGUAAUACGUAGGCAGCAAGCGUUGUUCGGCGUUACUGGGCGUAAAGAGUGCGUGGGCGGUUUUCUAAGUUCGGUGUGAAAUCUCCCGGCUUAACUGGGAGGGUGCGCCGAAGACUGGAAAGCUGGAGUGUGGGAAAGGCAGGGGGAAUUCCUGGUGUAGCGGUGAAUUGCGUGGAUAUCAGGAGGAACACAGGCGGUGUAGACGGCUUGCUAGACCAUAACUGACGCUGAGGCACGAAAGCGUGGGUAG